GGGCGUGGGGUGGGGGGAGCGGGGGAGGGUGGGGGCCGGGCCGGGGGGGGCGGGGGCGCGGCUUUGUGGCGGCAGCGGACCGUGGAGGCCGGGUGCAGCCCGUCGGCUCCGCGCGCUCUGCAGAAAAGGAUUUGCUACGCCCCCCGCCCAUCACUUGGAUCUUAUCUGGGGAGGGGUGGGAUUUUUUUCUGGAAGUCUCCCCCCGGCCCCGGUGGAGGAUUUGAGGCUGGGCUCCAAUCGAGGCGGAGGCUGCAGGGCCCGCGGGGCGCCCCCGCCCCGCGCACGCCUCCCCGGAGCCCUGGAAGGCGCAGCCCCGGGGGACCCCCCUGCACCCCGGGAGGUGGCAGCGGCGGAUUCUCCAAGAUCCUGCCUCAGAGGCAGCCCGUCCCGGUGCUGUGAGCUGUGCAGGGGAGUUCUCGAAAGGGUGGACCCAGAAUGGAAAGGAGGUUUUCGAGUCUGUGGUCCCAGAAUCGGGGUUUUGAGGGCGAGAUGAGUUUAUGUUUUAUCCAACUGGCCCACAAAGUCCCGCUUUUGGGGUCAUUCCAAACAGCGAGGGAUUCAGGCCCCAGCAGUCCCUGGAGAGUGAAGGCAGAGCUAACACCCCCCGGGCUGCAAGGCUCAAAGUCGGUUGGAGAAACGGGGGGGAGGUUUGCUACUUUUGGUAAAAGUGAAAGGCCAUUUGGGGGUGAUAUUCUUCCAUACGUGUGUACAGGGUGUGUGUGUUCUCAGUUUGUUGAACCUGCUAUGUUUUCAAGGGCCUCUUUCCUUGGGAGGCCAAAAUGAGAUGCGAGACGGCGAAAGUACACAUUUCUUUUUCUGCCCAGUGGUUUAAGGAGAUGUUCUAGCGGACUGGUGUCGUGGGAAUGGGUGGCACAUGGGUUGUGUCAAAGCAUGUGACACCCCCAAAAUCAAACACCGCUGAAAUCGUGAAUCCUGAUUGCAUUUGGUCUGUCUUUGCAUUUGUCAAAGGAGGAACUCUCUUCUUGCUUCCACGUGGAAUUGCAAUAUUUCUUUGCAAUUCUUUGCGGUCUCGCUCUAAAUCCUUUUAUGAGAAAGUCUGGAUAGGUGUUCACAGGGAAUUUUCUAAGGGAAGGAUGUUGGGGGGCCAGUGCCCCUCCCAGAACAUUAACCUUAUUAAGUUGUAUUAAUUUACACACACACACACCCUGCCCUCCGGUUUUAACCUAUCUAGACAUCCACAUACCUUAAGUUUAUUUAUUUGCAAACCAAGAUUUCAACUAAUUGUUCGCCGCAGAAAAUAGAAAAGCCAGCUGUACCUGCGAAACUUUUGAACACAGAGCCCUUGAUAUAAGAUUCAGUGUUUAAAAGACAUGGUACAUGUACCCACAGAUGACAUUGGUGCUCCCGAAUCCUUGGCAAAAACAGUUCUUGACUUCCAGAAUUCUCUCUCUUUGUUAUGGGUCACGAUGAAACAGCACAAUUUUCAGGAGUCCACAAUUCCAGCGUGGCGAGGGGCGAUUGUCACGUUGUGAAAUAAAUUGUUUGCCUUUUGCUGAAUCGUCACCCCAUGAUAGCACACGAGAGCUGACUGUCAGCUUCUAUUUGCUUUGCUAAAGAAGGAUAUCUCACCAAAUUAGCCUUUAAUGAUACUUCUCCAAAUGGGGUGUCUUACGUGAAUUAACGAGGCCGGAACGCUGAAUGUUGCACCGAGAUUCGGAGCUGUAAUCGAGGCGGUGAAGCUCUAUGUUAAAAUUACGGAAUUGUUAAGUGUGGAAAAUCAGACAGAAUUUAGUGCUGUAACGCAUGCAAGCAUUCGCAACAGUACAGGCAUUUCUUAUAUUCAGCCCUCUGAAACCGUGCAUGUAAAUAUGAAUACAUUUAGCAAACUUCCCCCCCGCCCCCCACCGAGUCUGGAAACAGGCAAAGUAGUAUGGGGAAGAGAUUAUAAAUCAGUACUUUGCAGUGAGAAGUCAUCGUUAAUUCGGCAGAGAAUCACAGCCUCCUUUUAUAUUCUCCCCACCACCCCCCAACCAAUAAGGAAAAAAACCCCAACUCAGCGUGGAACUGCUAAAUACACUGAAUACAUUCGGGCUUUUCUCCUUUCGCCUGUGUGUGAAAUUUCAUUAAGCAGUUGCUAUUUUUUCCCUCCAAAGAAGUGGGGAUUUAGGAAAAAAAAAUAGCAACUUUGAAUUUAGUUCUUUAUGAUACACAAGCCAUGGGGAAAAAAUGUUUUGAUCAAAAAGCCGGGGGAAAAUAUUUAGAGGUGAGACUGCAAUGAAACUCAUACUUCCUUAAAAAUAAAACAUGCGUUUGUGACUCAAACCAAUGAGAGUUGGAAAAGUCCCUACAAGGGAGCACUCCCUCUAUUUCUAGCUUCCCAGCACAACCUCUCCUCCCCCACCUUAUAUUAAGAACAGAAAAGAGAGUCUUGCCGGAUAAACGUACACUUCCUAGCAGGAGAUCUGCUCCCCCUGGUUUAAUUGGGAUUGAGGAGUAAAUACAGCUAUUUUAGGCAGAAGGAUAGAAAUUAGUCUGAUGAAGAGUAAAGCGAACUCAUGCCUUAGAAUCACUUGCCAGAAAAGAAGUGCAUACACAAACCGAAUAAAACAUUGUUGAUCAGAGUUCAUUUCAGCUAGAAGUUUCUUUCCUGCCCAGCGUCCCAAACUCGGGAAAAUGUAAAAAGUUCUUUUGGCUUCUUGUAUUUGGAGCAAGGUGAAAAUAAACCCCCAGGAAAAACACCGACACAAACAUGAUAGAAACGACCCGAGACUUUUCAGGCCUACUGGCCACGCAGGCUUUUUGGACAAAAGCGUGGAUGUUGGAGAGAGUUUGGAAGGAACGGACUUUGGGGUCCCUCCGUCCCCCGGAGCUCCCCAGCCCUCCUCGUGGUCUCUUUUCAAAGCAGCCACUCAUGGGAUGCUGUGUUCUCAGGGUCCUUGGUUGUAGGGGGCAUGAGCACAGAUUUACAAAGCUUUAAGGUUUCUGAUUUUACCUCAUCUUCCUUAUAGAAAACAUCUGAGCUUAAGGAACCACAGAGCAAACUUUCUCAGUGCCCCUGCAUGGCUACACCACCACGUGAAAGAGAGACACACCUAGAAAAUCAAAACUGGUGUUGGUGUCACAAGAAAGCCAUUUAAAAAAUGCGUUGGGGAGAGGGGGGCCGAUUUCGCCUUUCCUGGACGAAUUGGCCCCGGCAGGGAAAGGAGUGCUGGCUGCAGCUGGAAGUUCGCUGUGCGGCCUGGGGUGGAACUUUCUCGGAGACGUGCAGAGAACUGGGCUCUGUCGGGAUCAUGCAUGAGAUCGGCACCCAGGCCUGUUGACAUCUCUGCCAGAGACAGCCUGGACCGCUGCCAGCCCAGGCCUGAACGUGGCCUUAGAGCCACCCCCACAGCCCCAACAAGCCCCAGACAGGUGCCCAAGGGUCUCUCCUCCUAGAGCCCAGCCCACAGCAUGUCUUGGCUAGAAGGGGGAUGUUUGGCUCCCAUGGCAGCCUCCCCAGAGACGCGGCAGGGUUUACUAUCCCGGUUACCCUGUGGGCUCUGGUGAGGAGGAACCCCACUUUGCUAAGCAGUGCCUCCCAGAUGCUCCGAGGGAGACAGAUGUGGCCGUCCUGCGAGCUCAGAGCAGAUCCGCCUGUGCAAGGGCAGAUGUGAGUCUAGAAGGCUCUGGAGCAGAGCUGUACAUUUGCAGCCCAGGCUAGAGCUCUCUCCGCUCUCCAGCAACAGGGCUGCGAUCCUUCCUUUUGGGAUGGGCCGAGGGGGCGUGGCCCGGGGCCAGCAACAGAGCACGUACACAUCGGAGCUCCCGUGUGCAACUCCCCUGAGUGUGUCUGCGCCUCUUUCCAGCCAGCGGGGCUCCAACCGACCCAGCCAGGGAGCUGAGCCCUCUUCUGUCAUCAGGCAGUGAGGAAAACCAGGGCCAGGAGGGCAGGGGUGCAGCCUUGAAGUGGGAGAAGGCAUGGAGGGCCAUCAGAGGGCCUGCUGGGCAGAUGAGGGGACCUGCAUCCGAGCCACCCUGGGGGGCGGCCAGGGUAGCAUGCAGCCAGCAGCCGGCUCUGCCCCAGCCCCAGAAUGUGCCCGCUCAGGGAAGCUGCGCCCAGCCCUGAGUCAGCCGAUCCCACGGGACUCCCACUUGGCCCCAAUAACUGGACUCCAGGCCACCAGAAGGCCUCGUGGGUUCCUGAUUGUAUCAGAAUGGCAUUAAAAGGUCCAGACCGGGCACUCAUAGGCCAUGCCAUAUUUAGCCUCAGGUUCACCCGGAGAAUAUUUUAGGUGCUGCUUGAAAGAGGAGAUCUCGGCCCAUUGCCGGCUGUCACAUGGAGAGUGUAGACUCGCUCCCUCACAGGCCUGGUGGAGGUGGCUGGGUGCUCACUGGCACAGAUGCCCGCAGUCCCUGCCAGAGCUUUGGGGCCAUGAGACAGGUGCCAAGGAGCCAGCGAGCGCCUGGGUAGCCGGUUCUGUGCCGGGAAGGCUGCUCGCCCCGUUUUCGUCCUGACGGCGAUAAGCUCGCUCCAUUCACAGGACUCACAGAGGCUGUUUCAGGCCCUCUCUCCUCUCGAUGGCCCAGUGCGAUAUGCCAGCUUGCUGAGUGAGCAGCUUCCUCCUCCGGUGUCAGCAACUGCGGAGGGGUUAACCCUUUCAAGGCCCGGGGUGCUGGCUGGCAUGGGGGUCCCGCCUCCAGGGCCCUUGAAGGCCACAUGCCAGGGGGAGCCACUGCCCUGGAUGCCUUAAUCCUCCAUCGUUAGUGGCCAGACCAGAGAGAGGGCACCCUGGACCUUAACUGUGAUUUCCUCCUUUGGCCCCAGCAGCAGCACUAACCGCCAGGCUGCCCUACCCAAACCUUCGCCCUUCAGCCGUGGAAACAGCUGCUUGCUUUGCAGAUACUUUCCCCUGGGUUUCCAGGUUCAUUAACUUUCCUGCAUUCCGGAGGAGGAGGUAUUGAUGGAUUCGGGGUCCCCUUAGAUCAUUAAUGAGAGUUCGGAAUCAUCAUUUGGGGUCUUGGGGAAAUGUUCCAGGUCCCUAAGAGUUGCCUGGUGUUAGGGAAUCAGCCUUGGAAGCUGGUUUUCCAGGUCUUGGUUGUCUGGGCACAGCGGAGGCGGCCGUAUCAAAGCCACUGUGUGGAGGAGACACAUUGAGCCAAUGAUCAGCCAGUAAUUCUCAGCCUUGGGGGAGCCUGGUGGGGCCGCCAUACACUGUGAUAGCGUUGCUUGGUUUAAAGGUUCCUCUAACUUUGCGCACUUUUUCCUUUUUAGUUUUGGCUCUUGGGACUCUGAGAGCCACCCCUUCCUGCCCGGCUGGCUCGUUACCGCAGGGAAAAUGAGGGACUUUUGGGGGCAGAUGUGUUUCCAUUCCACUAUCAUAAUGCCCCUAAAAAUCCUUAUUGCUCUUGCAGUAUUCUUCGGGGGUCCCUGGGCCAGCCGGGCGCGUGGGGAAGACGGCAGCUCUGAGUGCCUCCAGCAACUAGAAGAAGAGAGAAAGAAGUUCCCCCACAUUCUCCCUUCUGGUCCCUGGUCCAUCUCCCCUCAGAGCUCAGAACUGUUCACUGCCCGAAAAGUAAAAAGACACCAUCCACAGACACUGGUGGCUCAACGUGCCUUUUGCCCUCCGGGGGCAGAAUGUUGGAGAUCAGGCCUGGGAACAGCAGGGCAGCUGUGGCUGCUGUCAGCGUUUGCUCUGGGGGUUUGUCAGGGGAGGUGGGGAAAGUGGAAGAGAAACAAGUGUUACCUGUUUGACGAGGCAGGCGUAUUUCACCGUUCAGCCUGGUCCUUCCAGUGGGGCCUCUGGGAUCCUCACCUUGGCAGGGGGCCCUGGGCAGUCCUGGCUUGCUCACCUGCUCCUGAGACAGGCCACUUUCCCACUCUCUGCCUCGGUUUCCCUGUCUGCCAAGGGAGGGGCAGCACCCCAUGCUCUUGGCCUCAAAGGGUUCUUGGUUGUACCCAACAUUAUAAUGAGCUCAAGUGAUACGCAAGCUCCGAAGCUGCUUGGAAAAUGGGGAAGUCAAGUUAUUAAACAUGGGAGGUGUUGGUGCUAAUGUUUACUAAUACACACCUAACGUGCUGAGACAGUUCAGACAGGAGGGGAGACUGUCGCCCAACAGUGUAAGCACCGGUUUCUGGAAUCAGCCAGUCAGAACUCUGAGACUCUUUUGCUGUGUCACCCCAGGCAAGUGACUCAACCUCUCUGGGCCUCCAUUUCCUCACACAUGAAACCCACGUUUUGGAACAGAAGUUUGCCAAGUCUGAUAUGCACAUCUACUCAAUGAGUUUAAGUGGUACCUGGCUAAAGAUGGAAAUUAUUCUCAUAGGUAUUUCUUUGUACAGCUUAUCUCUAUUUAUGGCAAGCAGUUUGUUUUCGGUUUAGGGUAGGGAUAGAAAGGCCUUUUUUUAUACCAAUUUAUGCAGGUAAAGAUAGAUGAGUUGCUGGAAAGAAAAGCAUUAAGCAAAUAAUAAUACAGGUGGCCUGAGGAUGGGGCAGAAAUCAAGAUGCCAGUUUGCAAAGUUUCAUACGUCGGCUUACUUAAGAAUUCUUGUUUGUCUUGGGAGUUUUGCAUCCACAUAGUUGGUGUGGGGAGGAGAUGGGUGGGUUGCUAAUUCAAAUCUCUGGAGGGCUCCACCAUGAUAGUCUGAGUGUCACAAGUCUUCCCUUCUCGGGGGGAUGGGAGGGGGCCCACCUCUCUGCUCACCGAUGCCAGGGAGACCCCUCAGACCUCCAGCCCUGCACUGACCCCUAGCUUUGACUUGUCUCAUUUUAGGAUCACGAUGACCCAGUGCCCUCCUUCCUGGCCAGGGCACCUCUCUGGGCCUCAGUUUUCUCAGUGAAAUGGGGAGAAUAACAAACUCUGUCCCAUAGCUGUGUGUGAAGAUGGAAGGGUUAACAGGGCUCCAUCGGGCGCUGAUCCUUCACAAACAGCACCCACUCGGAGGGCAGUGGGCCCCAGCGGCGCUGGACACGCGGGGGGCGCUCCUUCCACAGGCCACCCUGCGCCACCCGGCACCAGCUCCCUGCCCACCCCCUGGGAGGGUGGCUUUGCAGGGAAACAGCAGGCAGCCAGCAGGGGCGGACUCUGGUUUCACUUUCUGCUGUGUCAUGGAGUCGGGGGUGGCAUCGGGGCCCAGCUGGCCAGCUGGGGCGGGCACCGAGAGGCCAGCGGACAGCUGCCGGCCCAGCUGCCAGAGCACAAGCCGCGCCCCCCUGCGGCCUGCCAGGGUGGGGGCUGGGUCCUCGGGUGCCCCUUAAGGGCCUCUCCUCCCACACGGUGGGGAGAACCCCAGGCGAGAAAAGCCAGGAGCGGGUGAGAUCGUUUCUUGAGCUGUGGGAUCCCCCAAAAGCAACUUCUCAAGUCACGCAGCCUUGAAGUUCUGAGAAGUGCAGCUGUGGGUUCUGGAUCAGGGUGUGCUGGCUGGACACCUGCUCCCUGCCUCCCUUCACUGGGCACAUGGUGGGUGAGGGCCUACUGUGUGCUAAGCAGUGUGCCAGGUGCCGGGGGUACAACAGGGAGCAGGACAGCCCCUGCCCUCAUGGGGCUCCCAGUUAAGUCUGGGAGAUGGACAAAAGAGCGAGCAAGAGAGAAUCCCGCGUUAUGGGGGAAAUUCCAGCCUGAACGUCUGGUGCUAGCAUCUCAGGGCAGGGGCGUGCCUGCGUAUGCACCUAUGUGUGUCAGCAACGUGUCACCUCCUGGGACACAACGCCACAGGUCUGAGUAAAUCCUGCUCGCAGCUUCCGGGUUUGUAGACAGCCAGCGUGGAUCUCAAAGCAAAGGCCCAAUUUACGACUGAGGUCGGUCUCAGCAGUGAGCUUAGAAGCAGCAAAGCCAGGAGAAGGCUCCAGAGGAGCGACUGCCCAGUGUUCUUCCAAAAGGUUGUAUCAUUCACACGCCCAUCAACGGUGUACGUGCUGUUUCCAGCACCCUCGCCCAACCUGGCAAAGACGCGGUGUGUCAGGGGAAGCAAAUCCUAAAUGAGCUGCGGAGAAACCUGCCAGUAAUUUCAGCAAAUGAAACGUGGGCCGCAGAAAGGCCAGAGGAUGGAAGAUGCUCCGGUUUUGACAAAAGGAGGUCUGCUCAGCUUGGAAUCCUCUCUCCUGUGAGUCAGGAGAUGGAAAGCUAUAUCCAGAGGGGCUGAUGAAUUGAGAGAAAAAAGAAACGAGGCCAGUGUGAGUCGCCUUUCAAGGGCUGUGCUAAUAUAAAACCAAACAACUUGAAAUUGUUCCAAGAGGGGAUUAAAGCAACAUGUUAUUUUGAGUGACUGCUUAAUUUAUUGAGCUGCGGCUAGAUCUGUAAUGAAAUACAGCCCUUGCAACUGAUAACCUCCCGCUGCAAUUGAACUUCUGCAAUUAAGGAAUAUUUUCCGAGAGUUUUCUCUGGAACAGCUUAGAAUUUUCAGUCUCUGUGGUGGGGUGCUUCUGAGCACUUGUUUUCCAGGCGAGCUUUUGGGUUUUUUUCCUUAAAGAAUGACGGGCUGACGUUAAUAAGGAAAAUAAGCUGCAAUUUACUGAAUGCCUUGUGUGCACCAGAUGCUUAAUAUACAUUACCUCUAAUCCUGACAACAGCCCAAUGAAGUAAUUUUUAUUAGGCCCUGUUUUAUAGACAUGAGGCUCCUAGAUGUUAGGUAAUUUUCCAGAGUGGCGUUGUCCAGGAUGGUAGCUACUGGCCACUUGUGGCUAUUUAUGUGUAAAUUAGUUAAAAUUUUAAAAAUCUAAAUAUUCGCUUCCUAGGUAGCACUAGCAACUGGUUCAAGUGCCCUACCUGUAUGUGGCCAGCGGCUAGCACAUUGGACAGCACAGAUGCAGGCCAUCUCGAUGACUGUAGAAAGUUCUGUUGACGAGUGCUGUUCCACAGAUCCCACAGGUAGAAAUUGGCAGUGCCAGGGUUCAAAACCAAGCUAAUGGGGUCCCAAGGCCACCUCUGCUAGCAUUAACCCUCUCUUCCUUCUGCUUUGGCUGAAAAGCAGUGAUUCUGAACCUGGCUGCACAUUAAAAUUACCUGGAUGCUUUGAAAACAAUAUGAUGUUAGGGUCCAGCCCCAGAGAUCCUGACUUCAUUGUGAUGGUGGGGGUGGGGACAGGCAUGAGGGUUUUUCUGAUUCCCUGUGUGACUCAGAUGUGCAGCCGGAAUCAAGAGCAGCUAGAUGAGAGGAUCCACACACAGGCUGGUGGAAGGAGCUGGUACAUCUGCCAUAGAAUGUGGUCCCUUCGGUACCUGCAAUGGGGCUCCCUCCAGGGCCACUUCUGAGCCUCCUCAACAGAGAGUUCAAGUUCAUUUCUGAGGGGAAGACUUAAGCGCCUUCUCACAUGCUUCCUGCUUGAUGGGAGACACGAUGAGGAGCUCUGCCUUUAGAAACAGGCUUUGUCACACUGCCAUGGAAGAAAGGAGAUGAGGAGGGAGGAUCACAAAGGGAAAAACCUCCAGUCCCAAAUCGAACUGGAAGCAUCAGUGUGAACUCAUGCUAUGUUUUGCCUUACGAAAUAAAGCAUGUAUCUCCUAGCUCCGUCCACUGAAAAGGUUAGAAAUAAUGAGCAGUUCAUAGCAUGAGCACCCCCAGCACCCAGGUUAUGGUCUCUAAACGCCACUUCUAACUAGGAAUCAGGGCUCUUUGGAGAUUCAGCAGAUUCCGGGUCUGAGGCAGGAAAUGUGCAAGACGAGCCUGAAACAUCUUGUCACCCAGGUAGCAUGGCAACUGUCAAAGACUUCUGGGGUCAUGUCAAAAAGGAUGCAGGGGACAGCAGGAAGAGGCUCCCACGGGCCAAAGAUGGGACAGUUUGAGCAUCAAGAAUAAUAAUUGCAGUGGACUGAAACAUGUCAUAUACGUCCAAAUCUAUGAGUUCACACUGACACUGAGAGAAACAAACCCAUUGGUCAUCUUUGGAGGAUGUUGGGAAACCAACUCAUUAUUUUGAAAAUUGUCAAUUAAAGGGAGAGAAUCAAGCAUUUACCCUUUCUUGUAUGAACCAUACCUUACAGUAACCAAACGUUGAAAAGUAAAGUUUCUUUUUAUGGAAGUAUUCCAGCUAACAAACAAGGACAGAAGGAUUGAAUUAGUACGCCACCAUUUUGCAAACCCUAAUGGAUAUAGCCGGUGAGCAUCAGUGGCUGCCGACAUCGCAAAGGGACAGCCAGACAUCAAGUGUCUUCAAAUGGAAAUGCAAAACAGCCACUAGGAAGUAGUCAGACAAACACACACACACAAAACAAACGUGAAUCUAAGUGAGCUUCUAGAUCUUACUAUUUACAAGAAAUACAGGGGGGAAAGGGACAUGUGUGACACUAAUAUGGGGCUGCAGUAAGCCAAAUCCAGACUGUAGGACACUCUACAGAACAACCAGCCCAGAGUCUUCAAGUGAGAAAAAGCGAGGGAGGGGCCAGCCUGGUGGCAUAGUGGCUAAGUUCGCUCAUUCCACUUUGGAGGCCCAGGGUUUGCAGGUUCAGAUCCUGGGCGCAGACCUAGCACUGCUCGCUAAACCAUGCUGUGGUGGCAUCCCACAUAAAAUAGAGGAAGAAUGGCACAGAUGUUAGCUCAGCAAUGACCUUCCUCAAGCAGAAAGAGGAAGAUUGGCAAGAGAUGUUAGCUCAGGGCCAAUCUUCCUCACAAAAAAAAAAAAGAAAAAGAAAAAAGGAAGGAGAGAGAACUUAUAGGUUGAGAGAGAUGUAAGAGACAUAUCAACCAAUUGCAAUGGAUGAACCGUAUAUGGAUCCUGAUUUUAACAAACUGUAAAGAAAACAUUUAUGAGAUAACCAGAGAAAUUUAAACAUUGACUAGAUAUAUGCUGAUGUUAAAGCAUUACUGUUAGUUUUAGUAGGGGUGAUGGUGGUGUAAAAAAUUCCUCCCCCUGGGGCCAGCCCUGUGGCAUAGUGGUUAAUUUCGGUGCACUCUGCUUUGACCGCCCAGGUUCACAGGUUUGGAUCCCAGGCGCAGACCUACACCACUCGUCAGCUGUGCUGUGGUGGUGACCCACGUACAACAGAGGAAGACUGGCACAGAUGUUAGCUCAGGGCGAAUCUUCCUCAAGCAAAAAAAAUAAAUAAAUAAAAAUCUCCCCCUCCCUUGUUUUGGAGUCAUACACUAAAAUGCUUGCAAAAAAAAUAAUUGCUGCCUGGAAUUUGCUUCCAAAUAUCUGCGAUGAGGGAGGAGGGGUGGUGAUAGAUGGAACACGAUUGGCCAAGAGUUGGUGAUUGUUGAGGCUGGGGUUCAUUGUACCGCAUACUCUACUCUUGUGUGUGCUUAAAAUUUUUCGUAAUAAAAAUAAAGACCAGCCUUUUCCUUCCUUUCUCUGAAGGGUCUGGGGUUGGUCUGCCCACCCACUGCUGGCAUCUCUGGGGCAAGCCUGGGUAGCAGGUUUCAGAUACAUCUCAUUGCAUACACACACACACACCCUCCUGUCUCCACGGCAACCAGUGAGGUGAGAAAGCAGCAUCCAGAAGGCUCCUGUCCACAUGAGGAUCAGGCCAGGCUGCCAGUGUCAUGCCAGGCCCACCAUCGCUGCCCCCUUUGGGAAAUUCCUAAUCGAAUCUUAGGAAUAGAUGGUCCCCUCACCACAUGUGCCUCCUUGCACCCCUUCCCCAUCCCUCUUGCCCUCCCUGUGAAACCCCAACUAGCAGAGGCCAAUUAGUGGCGAGAACAGGACCCUGAAUCAGAUUCAAGCCCAAAUUCUAACUUUACCACUUAACGGCAAGACCUUCAGCCAUCCUGAGCCUCAAUUUUCUCCCGUGUAAAAUGGGCAUGAUGUGACCUCCGCUAAGUCAAUAAAUCUUUAUUAUAGGGGGACAGUGGCAAAAAGGACCUAGUGUCCACCUCGUGGAAUAGACACUCGGAGGUGAAGGGCCAUCUUAAGAGAGUGUGAGUGCUGUGAUAAAGUACGUAUCAUAAAACUUGAGAUGUAAGGGUGCUUAAUCACAUCCUAAUUUUUUGAAAACUGGCAGUAACUACUUAGGAGAUGUCGUAACUCUCAAUCAUACUUCCUGUUAACCUGAACAUCCACAUUCUCCAACUGCCGAGGAUCCAGCUGUGUCAAAUGCACAGAAUAAUUUCCCUUAACUCAGUGCUCACAUUUCCGUGAGGGGAGUACUAUUAUUCCCAUUUUACGGAGACGGCAGCGAGGCAUGAAGAGGUGAGGGACCUUGCCCGAGGCUGCACUGUGGGUACAUGGUCCUGGCCUCUGUAUUUGGCCCUCUGCACUGAGUAAGCUUUGAAAUGCCGGGGCAUGGCCAGGACAUCAGAACUGCCAAGAGACCAACAGGCUCUCCAGGUCAAACUAUUUUGCAAACUAGGAAACAGUGGCCCAGAGAGACCAAGUAACUUGUCUUGGGCCACACAGCGAAUCAGCGGCUGAAUCUGUGUCCCAGCUGCUUGGGGAGAAGGUGCAGGGAAGCCCCAUGUGGUGAGGGAGCCUGGCUCUUCUGCCCCAUUUAAUCCUGUCCUAGAGUGAGGUGACCAGCCAUCCUGGGGUUUCCUGGGACCGGGGACUUUGAUGCUAAAACCAAGAAAGUUCUGGGCCAAGCAGGAUGAGUUGGUCACGCUGUCUCAUGAUGAGGCGUCUUAAUGGAUGUUCUCUAGGACAUCAGGCCCUGGGAUGGAGCUGGCUGACGAGAACCAUCAACAAGGCCCCAGAGAAGUGCUGAAGUUUCAUGCCUGUGGUCCCCUGGAGCCCCUGACUCAGCAGUGACACAUGAAUGAUGCUCCAUAAGUAGUCAUCCCAUGGACCAACCAAUGCCACCGUCACCUCCGACCCGGCCUCCUGCCGAAAUCACAGAAACCCUUUAUAGCCACCCUGACACCCAGUUCCCAUUUCAGACAGGCUGGUAUCCAUGAUGUCACGUGAUAGAAGAUGAUUCCAGAAAAAGACUGGCCAAGAGGCUCCUGGAGGGAGAGAUGGCAGCCAGGAUUGGGAGGUUUUUUUCUUUAUUAUACCUGUUCUGUCCACUAUUUCCUGGCUCUGUUCACAUCGCUGCUCCAGCACCAGCUCAGGGAAAAAAACGAAACAAAACAUGAGCCCCAGAAUUUGAGACAAGAUAGCUGGCUGGUUUCCUCUCUGCUUGUAAUUAAUGCUGGAAAUGUUCAUGACUUGCCUUGGCCGCAAAGGUAAUAAUAAAAGUCUGCAGCCUGAUUAUUUGGCUACUAAUUCCCUUCUUGGUGUUUUUCUUCCCCUUUCCUUAAAUUACUUCCAGAGUUCGUCCAGAUUUCUCGUUGCUAAGCUGUAAAGUUCCG
This 13158-nucleotide long non-coding RNA is filed under the name Equus asinus (donkey). RNAcentral's name for it is "lncRNA (ENSEASG00005034824.1)". The stretch from base 5266 to 5351 matches the Rfam family "mir-365 microRNA precursor family". The record is from RNAcentral. Lineage: Eukaryota; Metazoa; Chordata; Mammalia; Perissodactyla; Equidae.